Molecule: small RNA, 21 nt
Filed under: Arabidopsis thaliana (thale cress)
Lineage: Eukaryota; Viridiplantae; Streptophyta; Magnoliopsida; Brassicales; Brassicaceae
Description: ATSL178890
Source: RNAcentral
UUUUUUUUAUAAUCAUCUCUC